CUGGUCUAUGAAUAGAAUUGUUGUGCUGGGGCUCCUCUGUAUCGUCUGUGGUGAGGACUGCAGGGCCUGCUCCCUUCCAAGGCCUUUUCCAACUGGCCCAGGGGGCGGGGUCCAGGUCCUAACAUUCCCAGCUACGAAAGGACUCCUGUGGCAGUGCCUAGAGAAUGGGGCUGGACUCAUUUGGAACAAACUAUUGGGGAAGGUUCUAUACUCCAGUGCAGUUUGCCAUAAUUAUUUUUCAGGAAAUAUACAAGAUCUCAAGAGCAGAAGUGCCACAUUGAGAAAGAUGUAUGGACCUCACACAGCUAACGGGAGUGA
Molecule: non-coding RNA, 318 nt
Organism: Podarcis muralis (Common wall lizard)
Lineage: Eukaryota; Metazoa; Chordata; Lepidosauria; Squamata; Lacertidae
Source: RefSeq, a predicted model, not a curated record